UGUGCUAGAAAAGUGGGUUAGGUUAGGUUAGAACUGCGACCAUACAGAAACAAACUUGUGCUAGAAAAGUGGGUUAGGUUAGGUUAGAACUGCGACCAUACAGAAGCAAACAUUUGCUAAAAAAAUGGGUUAGGUUAGGUUAGGUUAGAACUGCGACCCUACAGAAACAAACCUUUGCCACAAACUCUUAUGGCAAGGACUCAUAGGUCAAGUAAGAACUGCGACCGUGAGGGUCGGGAACAAACUUUUGUUAGAAAAUUAAGGAUUUAUUGAACUUUUGAUA
Molecule: long non-coding RNA, 283 nt
Organism: Leguminivora glycinivorella
Lineage: Eukaryota; Metazoa; Arthropoda; Insecta; Lepidoptera; Tortricidae
Exons: 3
Source: RefSeq, a predicted model, not a curated record